This is a long non-coding RNA of Mercenaria mercenaria, 778 nucleotides long. RefSeq lists it as uncharacterized. Lineage: Eukaryota; Metazoa; Mollusca; Bivalvia; Venerida; Veneridae. The transcript has 3 exons. The record is from RefSeq and is a predicted model, not a curated record.
UGGGACUGGCUGGCCUGCUGACCGAGGGAGGGAAUGGACUGGCUGGCCUGCUGACCGAGGGAAUGGACUGGCUGGCCUGCUGACCGAGGGAGGGAAUGGACGGGUGGAGGAGAUAAUAAUAGCACCCUGCUGGCACACUGAUGAUGGCGUCAGCGAAUAGGACUUGCAUCGCCGUAAAAAGGACGAGAUGGACCGACUGGCUAACGGACUGGUGGAGCUGACGGACUGGUGGAGCUGAUGGAGCUGAUGGAGCUGACGGACUGGUGGAGCUGGUGGAGCUGACGGACUGGUGGAGCUGACGGACUGGUGGAGGAGAUAAUAAUAACAUGACACCUGCUGACCCACUGAUGAUGGCGUCAGCGAGUUUAACGAGGACUUGCUUCGUAGGAAAGGAAGGACUUGCAUCAAACGAAAGGAAGGACUUGCAUCAAAGGAAAGGACUUGCAUCGAAGGAAAGGACAUGAUCCUGACGCUGAUGGUAAUAACAAUAAUAAUAAUAUCUACGCAGUCUGGUCUGGAUCCAUGCUGGCCCUAAACCAACUAUGACAAGAAAAACAAAGGUUGCCAUCGUUAAUGCCGGGGCGUGUAGUAUAGCCACCCUAUUCUCCGAAUAGUGGAGCUAAAAAAAGGAACAAUUUUAUGCUUGCAUUAUAAUAAGUAAAGUGUAUCGCUACAAUACUUACAGCUAACAAAAGGCAAUGUCACAAAAACAAUUUAUUCAUAAUUAAUUAAAUAAACUUUGUUGUUUUUUUAUAGAGUAUCUAUUAAAUUUUCCAAG